This 240-nucleotide ribosomal RNA is filed under the name uncultured bacterium. Its description in RNAcentral is "partial 16S ribosomal RNA". It matches the Rfam family "Bacterial small subunit ribosomal RNA", at positions 94 to 334 of the family's 1533-position model. The record is from RNAcentral.
AGCGGCGGACGGGUGAGUAACGCGUGGGUAACCUGCCUCAUACAGGGGGAUAACAGUUGGAAACGGCUGCUAAUACCGCAUAAGCGCACAGUACCGCAUGGUACCGUGUGAAAAACUCCGGUGGUAUGAGAUGGACCCGCGUCUGAUUAGCUAGUUGGUGGGGUAACGGCCUACCAAGGCGGCGAUCAGUAGCCGACCUGAGAGGGUGACCGGCCACAUUGGGACUGAGACACGGCCCAA